Molecule: long non-coding RNA, 709 nt
Organism: Oncorhynchus tshawytscha (Chinook salmon)
Lineage: Eukaryota; Metazoa; Chordata; Actinopteri; Salmoniformes; Salmonidae
Source: Ensembl
GCCAAAUGAAAAUAUAACACCUGAAAUGACUUUGUAUUACCUUGCAUUACUUAAACAUUAAGCAAGCCAACUAUAACUGUAAGCUUGUAAUGAACACGAUGUGAGACAGAGAGCUGGUUUCAAGCGCAGGGCGCUGCAGGUGUUUAUUGGAAAAGGACCACAGGAGGCAGGCAGAAGGUCAUACACAGGAGGAGGCAGGUAGCUGGGUCCAGGGGCAGGCAGAAGGUCAUACACAGGAGGAGGCAGGUAGCUGGGUCCAGGGGCAGGCAGAAGGUCAUACACAGGAGGAGGCAGGUAGCUGGGUCCAGGGGCAGGCAGAAGGUCAUACACAGGAGGAGGCAGGUAGCUGGGUCCAGGAGCAGGCAGAAGGUCAUACACAGGAGGAGGCAGGUAGCUGGGUCCAGGGGCAGGCAGAAGGUCAUACACAGGAGGAGGCAGGUAGCUGGGUCCAGGGGCAGGCAGAAGGUCAUACACAGGAGGAGGCAGGUAGCUGGGUCCAGGGGCAGGCAGAAGGUCAUACACAGGAGGAGGCAGGUAGCUGGGUCCAGGGGCAGGCAGAAGGUCAUACACAGGAGGAGGCAGGUAGCUGGGUCCAGGGGCAGGCAGAAGGUCAUACACAGGAGGAGACAGGUAGCUGGGUCCAGGGGCAGGCAGAAGGUCAUACACAGGGGGCCAAAAAAAGGCUACAGUACAGGCAGGGAAAGGCUAG